RNAcentral lists this long non-coding RNA (803 nucleotides) under Sinocyclocheilus rhinocerous. RNAcentral's name for it is "lncRNA (ENSSRHG00000033514.1)". The record is from RNAcentral. Lineage: Eukaryota; Metazoa; Chordata; Actinopteri; Cypriniformes; Cyprinidae.
CAAGAACACGUUACACUGCACCCCAUAAACACAAACAAGCCUUUAAAACACUCCCUCGAUGAAAUGUAGGCUACUCAACAUGUGCCACCCUGCGGCGAUGGUUGAAGAAAGACAAAUGAGAAAGUACUUCACCAUAUGCUUGAUAUUAUCGCAUGGUUGGUGCUUUACUUUCUUUAUAGUAAAGUAAAAGUGAACGAUAACGAUUUGUUUAUGAAAUUACUGUUGAGCUGCACCAUACAUGUAUUACCUAGGCUACUACAGAAAGCAGAUUAUAGUAAAGAUUAAGCAGAAGCUCUAUGGAGGGCAAAAUGCUACACCUUCAAGUGCACGAUCACAUUACAAUCGCAAGUUCCUCAAACCAUAAACACUUACCUUCCGUUUCUGCAUUCAGUACGAGUCUCGUCUGUCUGGAUGAAAGCAGAGGAGAGGGAUAAUGUGUUGCGUUUAAGUGGACGAAUUAAGCAAUCUAAUGCAAAAGAAUUUCUUUCUGAACCUGGACCUUUUUAACAAUGCACACUUGGCGGUGCUUCGUCGCCAUUAUAUUUGUACUUGUUUGGUACUUCUCAGAGUUUGGACAAAUAUGGACACAAGCCUUCUUUUGUUUCUUAUGCUUUUUUUUAAAUUUCCCUUUCAAAAAGCAAGACCGUGAAACAAGCACUCAGACGGAUGAUACAUCUGAAGAAACAGAACGACAGACAAAGAAAGGUCACCAUGUUGGUGUCACUGAUGAGAUUGAUGCUACCAGAACUGGACAAACUGUGUCUCAGACAAUGCAAUAUCCAAAUGUACAGAGGUCACUUCUC